GCAAUUUUUUCCCUUUCAUACCAUUGAUACCACAAUACCAGCAAAACUGUAAACUGAGCACUUUGUUAACCUCCACAGAGAGCAAAUACAGCAAUCUAGAGUUUAGCCUUUUGUUUAAAGCUGUCCACGUUUGUUUCACACAUGUGCAAUAUGUUUUCCCCUUUCCUGCUCCUUCUCUAAAUUAUCUUCACAAAAAGAAAAUGAGUAAUAACAUUAUUAUUUUUAAGUAUCACAUACUAUUCUAAAUUCUGCGGCUUACCUUAAGAGGGCUCGUAUGGGUCCCCUGAGGCUCUGUUCCUUGCAGUUUUAAAAAAAUAUACUGUUCUUAUAAGGGAAAGUAGAACUGUCUGCAUGUCAUCUAAUGUUAUUAGUGUGAGGCUACACUCUACAUAUUGUAUAUUUGCAAAAUAUAUCAGUGUUACUGUUGAUAUUAGUUGAAGUAAAGUGAUAACAUAUUUCAAUAUGUAGACUUUUCUUCAUACAUCUGUACCAAUAGUAGAGUCUAACUGUAACUUACAGGUUGUUCCAGAAAAGAUAAAGAACCAUUCAAGUACAAACAUCUUUCAGAAACUGCAUCUUUUAAUUAAAACAGAGGUAAGAAUGCUCCUCUUCACUGAGUGACGGAGUCUGUAUUUGUUUCAGAUGCAGAGUUAUACUGUAAGUAAAAUUGCCUGUGUAUGGAAUAAAUGCAGAAUAUGCAGUAGCAGUGGAGAGGAAAAUCUGACUAGCUGUGUUAAUUAACAGUGAAGAUGUUAAAUCUCCCAGAUCUGCCUUUGCUUUAUGUUUACAAACGCCUUUCAUUCAUUUAAAUUAGAGUUACGUAUAAAUCUCCUAAAAGUACACAGUAAGCCACAUUUUAAUACUUGACUACUGAUUUUCCAUGUGCAAUCAAUUAAAUGUUCAGGACAUGUCACAAACAUGCAUGCAAAAAGCCAUUUACACAUGAUUUCAUGUACAUGUGAGGAAAGAGCUUGUGCCUACCCUCUAGGUGCAUUAAGUUGCACGUGUAAAAUCACAGACCAUUUUGCGGCUGGUUUAAAAACCAAAACUGGUCAUACAAGAGCACAGUAUUUGUAAACUAUUGUUUCAAGCCAAUGAGGAGAAAUCAGUGGACUCAAUUUUUCUUUUUUUUUAGACUCUGUGUUUAUAUGUACUUUAAACAAACAAAAAUGUCUUGGUGUCAGCAUAAGUCCUAAGAACUUCGCUGAUUGUUUAGGGUUGUAGUAUAACCUCUCUGACUCCGUCCUUGAUUAACAGUUGCUUAGAGCAGUGUCAAUCAUGCCUAGAAUAGGAAAAUGAUAGUACUUUAACACUGUGUGUGGUUAAGAAAAUUAAUUUUUUCAGCCUGCAGGCAGGAGUAGAAUUGAGAGGGUUUUUUUCUUAAAUGCCAUUGCCAAUUAAAAACUGGUACAGAACUGCAUAAAGUGACCACGUUUCUCUUUCCCCAUAAAUGAUGUGGCAAAGUAGUAAUGCUGAUUUGAAAAAAUGAAAGGAAAACGUAAAGAAUUAAGGUGUGGCAACAAAAAUCUUUUCUGGGACAACAAUCAAAUAUAUAUUUGGGGUUUUUAUUUUUUUAAGUUAAGAAUGAAAUGUAAAACAAUGUAAAAACAAAAAAACAAAGUUCAUCCUAAUAUAAUGUGCGUCUUGUAUUGCUAAAAAAAAAAAAAAAGUCUAACAUACAGUGUAGAAUGAUUUUCCCAUCAUGUACUGCAUGCAGCAGAAGCCUCUUGUUUCUUGAUAAAAUGAGCUGAGAGACAGUCAGCAGAUAUUUAAACAAUGAAUCUCUAGAUGUUGACUUGCUGUUCCAUAUGAAGCUGUGUGUUUUCUGCAGUUAAGCAUGCAUUUUGCUGUUCCGUUGUAAAAUACCAUCGCACUUCUUGCCUGCAAAAUGGAUUAUUGUGUAUAUAUUUAAAAGAAAAGUGGAACCAAUAACAAGAUUAAAUUUGGAAAAGACAAAAAGGGGUGGUGAAAAUGGGACCAGUAGAGGGACUAGAUAAUUCUCUAAAUUGUACAUAGUGUGUAAAUUAGUAUUACUAUAAGUCUGCAGUCACUUUGAGGUUGCCUAUCUCCUGCUAGGAACUUAAAUCAGCUUUGAGUUGUAUUAAACUGUUAGAAUUAGGUCUUGAAUGCAGACUGUUAAAGACUUCAAAAAAACAUUAUGCUUACAAGAAGCUUCUGUUCUGGGGAGGCUUGAGACCCCUUUUGUAACUAUGGGGAAGAAAGGAGUGCUUUCAUUUUAAUAUGCAUUCUGUUUGUAAGUAGUAACACCCUAUUGAUGUAAAACUAUAACUGUGAUCAUGUGGAGAAAUCAAAUAAAUCAUUUAAAACUCUUUGUUUCUCAUUUUCUGUAAUCCAAGAACUUCAACUCUUCAGACUUGAAAUGAAGGAAAUUCCUUCCAAUGGUAUCCUGGCCCUGCUGAAUCAAUUGGAUUUCUGCCACUCACUUCAAAGGGGCCAAGAUGUCAGUCUUCAUCUUAAGUUAAGGAGAAGUUGGUGGAAAUGGUGGUCAGUACUGUGGAGACUGUCAUCCCUUCUCAAUAGGUUUUGAUUUGCUUGGUGGUGCUGUUAAAUAUGUUUAGUUCCAAAGUGUCCUAAAGAGCAAUAAAUACAACACCUAAAUCUGUAAACAAUGAGAGGUAAUGCUGAAGAGGCUUUUUGGUGUUCUAUUUACCAAAACAUUCAAAUGUUGAAAAACAGAAACCAGAUUUUUAAUCUUCUUAAACAUGAGCUGUCCUGUCCUUGAACAUGUUCAAGUGAUCCCGUUAAUCUUUUGGCUGUCCCGUUGCCUUAGGAGCUCAGGUUCAGAUGACUGUGUGCCCUUGACUCAUAAGUGUUGGAAGUUUGUCCUUCCCAGGGAUGCGGGCCUUCAUUCCCUUGUGGAACCUACAUGCCGUGGAUCGAGUUCUGAGAGCAUUCAUGGCUUCCGUGUGCCCACCAGCACGGAACCAUCGUCUUACUUCAGAGAAUCUUGAGUUACUUUGUGGGAAUAGUCGACUAUGACCUAUUUCUGAAUGGCUGUAAUUUCAGGAUGUAUGUCUUGAUCAAUGAUUUUUUUGAUAGACAUUUGUGUGCACGUACACACAACUGCAUGAAUGAAUUGUCGUGCAAUUAGUUAAUUACAAGUUACUUCAAGCUGCUCUCCAGAAGAGAGGGUUACUUUUCAGGUAUUUUCUGUAUUAUUUUGGUUGAAAUAAAGAAAUGCAAUAUUGAAAUGAUGGGAAAACAAAAUAAAUAACUGCAUAGGUUUUAUCUGUGCCUCUCUUCAGGUUUUUAUUGACUUAACAAUGUCAUGAAUUCUAUUAAACUUUUUUUCCAAUUUGCCUUAAUGGUUGUUUUUCAAUCAGGAGUUUCAUAAAAACAGUUGUAGUAGCAUUUUACCAUAUAUUUAUUUGGAGUAUACAUAAUAGUUGUGUGAUGUUUUAUUCAUCAGUUGCAACCUGUGCACAGGUGAGAUUUGGAAGCCCCAAUUAUUUGUAAAUUUGUUGCACAGUAUCGCAAGCCUUGGUUGCACAGGGUCCAGACUAUCUUCCUUAACUGUUGCUUAUCCUUCAGCAUUGCAGGUGGACCUUGAAAUAUUAAGCAACUUCUAGGGUUUUUAUCUGCAGUCAUUCAAAUGACUGUCACAAGAUACCAGAAUUGUGAUGCUGUUAGGAUUGUGUGAUCAAUCAUAUUUCAGCAUGCGUAUGUACUGACAAAUGUCUCUGCAGAAGAUGAACAAUGUACUUACAGUAACAUGCCAUAAUAAGUCUUUACUGGUAUUAUAGCUGCAUUACAUACACCUUUUUCAAAAGGAAUCAUACUGGAUUUUUAGCCUACUUACUAGCCUCUUAGCGAUUUUUGUUACUGUAUUUUACUGAUAUAAAAUGCCUAGAGGAGAACAUAGUACAGCUAACGUGAUAGAAAAAACUAAUAUAUACAAAUGAUGGGAAAAUGCUUCAUUUUAGGUGUAUUUUUAGUAGACUCUUUUUGUUUCUUAUGAUUUCAAGAAUUAAAACCAAAUCCUGCAUUACUUGGCAAAACUAAAUCAACUGCAGGAUGAGGCUGAUCAUGAACAUUAAGAAACACUUAAAUUAAGAUCUCUGCUUAAAGUACUUCCUAAGCUAAAUAGGAGUUAAAUGAAAGUUGUGUGGGUGAUGCUGACUUGAAACCAUCACUUUUUUCAACUGGUUAGAUUUAUUAUUUUUACCGUAUGUAUAAAUGCAUAUUUUUAGGAAUAAAAUGUUAUAGAAAAAAAUCCCCUUUAUUUAGCUUUUUUGCAAUAACUGAGAUGUGAAAUUAGUAUCACGGUUCACAAGACACAACCAUCUCAAAUCAUAGAAGCAGAGAAUUUAUCAGCUCUGUUGUUAAAUGACAUUCACAACUUCAGCUUUCAUUUAUUUUUUUCAUAUUUAGACACAGUGAUUUAAACAGGUAUAUAUAAUGAGCAAAGAAAAAAUAAUCUGCCUUUAGUGAGAUGAAUAGGGUAAAUUCAUUCUAAUGCAAAUGUUAUGCAUGCAUAGUGAAAACUACUUUCUCUACAGCUUCUCAUUUCUGCUACAAAAUAAUACAUUAAGUGUAGACAAAGAAAUGGGCUUUAUUUUUUGUCAAAGGAAAUGGAAAAAGCAAGGACUAUGCAGGUGUUCUGGGUUAGAGGAGGCUGUUAUUCAGCAAUGGUAUCACAGUAAACCAAAGCUGGAAAUUAGUUAAUUAUUACCACUAUAAUUUUUUUUUUUUAAAUGAGGAAACACUCUGACUUUCGGACAUGGAGUUUCCUCAUCUUUGAAUCCAGCUGGACUAUGCGCAGCCUUUCAUUUGUGCGCAAUCCUUGGAGAGGAACACACCGUUCCUGGAGCUGUACCAGCCAGUGGGCUCUCUCCCUCCUGAGGCCCCCACGCACCAGGCCUGGCUGAGCCGUGGGCCAGGCCAGAGCACGGUGUCUUUUGUGAGCGUGGGAGAGCAAAAGCUGCA
Molecule: long non-coding RNA, 4947 nt
Organism: Athene cunicularia (burrowing owl)
Lineage: Eukaryota; Metazoa; Chordata; Aves; Strigiformes; Strigidae
Exons: 3
Source: RefSeq, a predicted model, not a curated record